GAUGAGAACGCAGCGAAAUGCGAUAAGUAAUGUGAAUUGCAGAAUUCAGUGAAUCAUCGAAUCUUUGAACGCACAUUGCGCCCGCCAAUAUUCUGGCGGGCAUGCCUGUUCGAGCGUCAUUUCAACCAUCAAGCCCCAGGCUUGUGUUGGGGACCUGCGGCUGCCGCAGGCCCUGAAAACCAGUGGCGGGCUCGCUGUCACACCGGGCGUAGUAGAUUUUAUCUCGCUCAGGGCGUGCUGCGGGUCCCGGCCGUUAAAAGCCUUUUUUUACCCAAGGUUGACCUCGGAUCAGGUAGGAAGACCCGCUGAACUUAAGCAUAUCAAUAAGCGGAGGA
Molecule: unclassified non-coding RNA, 335 nt
Filed under: soil metagenome
Description: partial contains 5.8S ribosomal RNA, internal transcribed spacer 2, and large subunit ribosomal RNA
Rfam family: 5.8S ribosomal RNA (bases 5-119)
Source: RNAcentral